AUGGCGCAAACCGUUUUGAAACAUUGUUUUUAAUCGGAACCACUAUCAAUGAUCCCCGUUAAUUUUUAAUUUACACCGGUUUAGUUAAAAAUUCGAGACUUAAAUAACCUACUUCUCCCACCAUAGGACAUAACUUGUCAGAUGUUUUAUUGGUUUUAAUAAAACAUCGAUUACUACGAUUACUUAUAGAAGUCUAUUAUGAUUAUAUUAUAAUAGUGAAACCAUAGAAAAAAGGUUAACUGUUGCACAAAAUGGAUAACAUAAAAUUAAAAAUAUUCAAAGAUUUUAUCUUUAACCAACAAAACCAUAUUUUACAUGAAACUGCAUUGCAAGCGAUAAUUUCUGUUCGAGAGAGAAAGUUUUUCCAAAUUAUAUCUAAAAAUGUAAGUACCAAUCUAGUAGUAUUAGUAGUAGUAAAUAAUUGAUUUUAUUAGACAUUGUAUCUCACCCAUUAAGCUUAAAAAAUGAUGAUGAUACUGAUACAAUAUAGUUCCAUUCUAUAGGACAUUUUAGUUAAAGAAUUAUCAACAGAAAAAGUAAUGAAAACUAAAAUAUACUACUUUGCCAAACUGAUAGUGCCAAGAUUUUCAGAUAAAGAAUUUAAAUCUCAUUCUUGUCUGAAUCGAAGCAGUAGUAUUGAAGUAAAAUAAUUUUUUUUAUAAUAUUGUAUGACUUAUUAGUUAUUGUAUUUUAUUUUAUGUAAACUAUAUUUUUUUUAAGAAAAUAUUGUCGUACAUUGGUCCAACUUUGUUAAGCUAUAAUUCAAAAUCUACUGUUGAAAAACGAAUUUUAUUGUUUAUAUGGUACAUAGCAAAUUGUGAGACACACAAGUGAGAAAUAAUACAUUAUUAAUAUACAAUUAACUACCUAUUAAUAUUAAUUAUUAUGUUUAUGUCGCAUCCACUUAGUGUAAUCGUAUUUUUCAUGAAAUGGAUGUUCAUUUCAUGAACUACGAUCAUAACGUGUAAGUCAAAUUUUAGUUCAUGAAACGGACAUAUAUUUUAUCCAUUUCAUGAAAUGGAAACUCUUAUUUUACACUUUGUGUAAUAUUUUAAAUUAAUUACAUCAAUAAGUAACUUUUCGUGAAAUCGAAAUAAUAACAUUGAUACUGGUACGUAUCACACCGUACUAUAUUUAUUAUUAAUAAAUAGUAAAGAUGAGAUAUCGACCGUUCAACAGAUAAAUUUUAGUCGAUAAAAUAUAUAUUUAAUCAAAAUUAAAUUGAAUCAANACAUUUUAGCAGCAAAAGUAAAAAUGUAAGUAAUCGUUAAAAUAUACAAAAUAUUAGUAAAUAAAAAUUAUAUAUUAAGAAACUUCAAAUAAAAUUAUUACUAUCAGCCAUCAGGGCUUGUCUUACUAACACGUAACAUAGCAAAUUUACGCUCAGCAGUUCACGUUUUAUUCCGUUGGAUUAAAAAUUAGAUAAUAAAUAUUUAAAUAAUAUUAUUUAAUAUUUACAUUAAAUAUUUGUUUAUAAUUUGAAAUUUACAUUAUUUUUUAGUGGCAAAAAAAAAGAGGCGAGAUUAUUAUCUCAUCAAAACGUAUGAUGUCCUGUUCGUUACAGAUCAAAAGUUUUUGGUUUAUAUAAAAACUAAUGAAGACGAAGACAUAAGGUAAUUUUUGAUUUGAUUUUUAUAAUUUGCAAUCUGUAUUAUUGAUUUAAUUAUUUUAAUCAGGUACGUUGUACCAUACGAAGAGUUAUUAAGGAUUUUCAUAUUAAAACAGAACAUGAUGGAAUUGUUAAAUUACGUAUGUCAAUGAGUCAUAAAUACAAAAUUCAGAGACCAGCAAUAGAAAAGUUUUUGUCUGUAUGUGCAAUAUGUAAUUCCAAGCAAGGAGCAAAUCGGAAACUAGUUAUAAAACCAAUUAUAACUAAAGAUUUUAAUGAAAGGGGCCAAGUCGAUUUAGUCGAUCUCCAGUCAACACCUGAUAGUAAAUAUAAAUGGAUCAUGAAUUAUCAGGACCACAAUACAAAAUUUGUAUUAUUGCAUCCACUUGAAAGGAAACGGGCUAUAGAAGUGGCAAACAGAUUACUCACUAUUUUUCUUACAUUUGGGACUCCUAAAAUACUUCAAAGUGAUAAUGAACGAGAAUUUGUGAACUCCAUUAUUAAGGAAUUAAAGGAUCUGUGGCCACAAUGUGUAAUAGUCCACGGUUGACCACAUCAUCCCCAAAGUCAGGAAAGCAUUGAAAGAAGUAAUCAAGACAUUGAGAAUAUGAUUCGUGUUUGGAUGAUGGAUAACCAAUCUAAAAAAUGGUCAGUUGGAUUACAAUUUGUACAGUUUCAAAAAAAUUCGUCUUUCCAUCGAGCAAUAGGAUGAUCGCCGUAUAAAGCUUUAUUCGGAUGUGACCCGAAAAAUGGAUUGUCAUCAUCAAAUCUUCCAUCGGAAAUAAUAAAAAAACUAACCACUGAAGAACAUCUUGAAGAAAUUUUAAAUAAUAUUCAACCUAAACAUGAAAAAGAAGGAAUUACAUCAUAUUGUAGCAUUUGCAAUAUAGAAAUGUUAACUGAGUUUGAAUUUUCCGAAAACUGUUAUUUGCAAACAACGUCAACUUGGAUCUCAAGGACAAGAAAAAGCGGCUAAAAUCAUGUUAAAGGUGUCUUUUUAAAUCAUUUUACCUAUUUAAUCUAUUUUUUUGUUUAAAAUUAUUGUACUAUCAUUGUUUUUAGGGCAGUCAAACCAGAAUUCCUGAUUUAAAAAUCGGUGAUUGCAGUGCCUAAAGUUGAUCGAGGACCGUCAGAUCUCGCCAAUGAAAUUGCAGUUAUUGUCAAUCAGAAUGAACAUAAACUUCACCAACUCAGAACUAAAUAUGGUUUAGUAAAAGGCUGGUACAAUUCAGCAAGUUUGAAACCCGCGACAUCUAAUUUUUUUUAAAAUUACUGAAGUUAAUAAUGAUAAAGAACUUACGUUAUGUGAAACAAAAUGGUGUGCUUGUUUUAACGCUUCUGUUAAGUGUAACAGUCGUUGCCAUAGCAGUAAUAAUAUUUGUAAAAAUAAGUAGUAAGAAGUAUUUUUGGUUUUUUUUUUUCAUAAUAUAAUAAUUAAUAUUUAAAUAAUUUUAAAUUUAUUGAUGUAAUUAAUUUAAAAUAUUACACAAAGUGUAAAAUAAGAGUUUCCAUUUCAUGAAAUGGAUAAAAUAUAUGUCCGGUUCAUGAACUAAAAUUUGACUUGCAUGUUAUGAUUAUAGUCCAUGAAAUGAACAUCCAUUUCAUGAAAAAUACAAUUACACUAAGUGGAUACGACAUAUAAAUUGUAUAGGUACUAUUAAUUGGGUAGAUUCAAAAUUAAAUCUUUAAUUUCAGAAAAAUAGCAAAUGGAUUCAAUGUAGUGGAAAGUACAAGUCAUACAAUAGUAAUGAACUAUUUAGAAGCUUUCAUAAAUAUUGCUGAUAAAAUAAUUAUUUGGUCUUUAAGCAGGGAUGCUAUAGUUAAUAUUUCUAAAUACAAUAGAUUAUGAAGAAAUAAUUCCUUCCCAAAUGUCUUAGGGUACAUUGGUGGUUGCCAUAUAAAUACAUUGUAUCCUUGAGAAAAGAGACAAAAAAUGGCCAAAAUUGAUAGGAAUAUAUUUUAUAGUAGAAAACAAGUUCUUCUGUCAUAAAACAGGUCAAUUUUUACUGUAUUUAUUUCUACUCAAUUAUCAACUUAAAAUAUUUUAAUUGAUUUUGCUAUAAUAUAAAAUAAAGAAAAAUAAACUUUAGUAGUUAAAUUAAUAGUUACUAUAAUAAACAAUUGAUUAAUUAAAUUUAAUCAGUUGUUUAAUUUUUAUACUUGUUUAUUUGUUCAGGGUAUAAUGGACGCUGACAUGAAGUUAAUGGAUGUCUUUCAGGUUAGCCAGGAUGUUCACAUGAUGCUCAUGUGUUUGCUGCUGCAUAAUUGGACAAAAAAUAAUAAAUGAUUCGUGAUCAGUUUUGCUACAAUCAAGUCAAAUUCUAGGUAAUGGGACAUAUCCACUUUCUGAAAGCCUUAUGAAUCCAUACAAAAAUAAUGGUCAUUUAACAAGAGAACAAACAAAUUUCACCAAAACACUCAGUAGUACAAGAGUACUAGUAUAAUUAAUUUGUUAAUUAGAAAACUAAUUUCAAGAUUUAGGAAGUUGAAGUACUUAUAAAAUCUUUUAAAAUAACAUGCACUUGAUUAAACUAAAAUUAAUUAACUUUUAUACUUUAAUUGCAGAUACAUGGAUAUUUACUAUUCAAAAAAGAAAAUUAUAACAACAGCCUGCUGCCUACACAAUAUUUGUAUAAUGAUGAAGGACAAUUUUGAUUAUGACACAGUAGGAGCUUCGGAAAAUUUAUUUAUUGUAGAUGAUGAAGAAACAACAACAGGAUAAACAAAUAGGGAUAAUAUAUACA
Molecule: long non-coding RNA, 4353 nt
Filed under: Cinara cedri
Lineage: Eukaryota; Metazoa; Arthropoda; Insecta; Hemiptera; Aphididae
Source: RNAcentral